Long non-coding RNA from Manduca sexta (tobacco hornworm), 212 nucleotides. RefSeq lists it as uncharacterized. Lineage: Eukaryota; Metazoa; Arthropoda; Insecta; Lepidoptera; Sphingidae. The transcript is spliced from 3 exons. The record is from RefSeq and is a predicted model, not a curated record.
AGAUGUGGAGUGACGUCAGUCAGUCUGAAAGCAAAUUACAUCGGAGGUUUUAAAGGAGCCGGGCGCUAAUAAAAGCGAUGUGGUAUACGUAAUUUAGAAUAAACUCAAGAUGGAUGAACUGACACAUUCUGUAAGAAGCGCGAUGGCUCUGUUGUGGAUCUUGUCUGGAUUAGCCACUAUACAAGCUGUGAAGGUCGUUAUAGAACCACUGC